This 481-nucleotide ribosomal RNA is filed under the name uncultured bacterium. RNAcentral describes it as "partial 16S ribosomal RNA". It matches the Rfam family "Bacterial small subunit ribosomal RNA", at positions 28 to 507 of the family's 1533-position model. The record is from RNAcentral.
GAUGAACGCUGGCGGCGUGCUUAACACAUGCAAGUCGAACGAAGCACUUUAUUUGAUUUCCUUCGGGACUGAUCAUUUUGUGACUGAGUGGCGGAUGGGUGAGUAACUCGUGGUUAACCUGCCUUGUACAGGGGGAUAACAGGUGGAAACCGCUGCUAAUACCGCAUAAGCGCCCAGCAUCGCAUGAUGCAUGGUGAAAACAUUCGGUGGUAUAAGAUGUACCCGCGUUGCAUUAUCUAGUUCCUGAGGUACCGGCCGACCAAGGCGACGAUCCAUAGACGACAUGAGAGACGGACCGGACACAUUGGGACUGAGACACGGCCGAAACUAGUACGGGAGGCAGCAGUGGGGAAUAUUGCAAAAUGGGCGAAAGCAUGAUGGAGCGACGGCGCGUGAGCGAAGAAGUAUUUCGGUAUGUAAAGCUCUAUCAGCAGGGAAGAUACUGACGGUACCUGAAGAAGAAGCACCGGCUAAAUACGUG